AGAAACCAAGGGAACCUCUUCUAACUACCUGUGGCUCUCCAACUUCUCUACUUUAGGAACGUGUUCACCUGGAAUUUAGGAGUCACAGAUCUGUGGGUGUAGACAGUGUGAGAUCAUCCUCAAGUUACCUGCUGUGCUCUCCAAAGGACACAGACUGAGACUCAUGUGGGUCAUCGUUCUUUAAGAUGAACAGGCAGAAAGGGCCAUGUCCCUUUGGACCUCUAGAGUCCAGACUGUCAUCUUCUUGCAAGCCUCUUCACCUCCGCAGGACCAGGUUUGUUUGUCAAGACACAAGACCAAUCCUACCUUCAUGGAACAGCGAUGAAGCUGUCUUGUAAACCCCAAGGAUCUCUCACCAAAGCUGAAGCACAUUAUGUCAUUUAUAAUGGUUUUCCAAUAAUCUUCAGGGAUCCUCCCGUUUCUACACCCCUCCCUCCAUAACAAAGAAAUCUUCUCACAUCAAUGGUGGCGAUCCAAACUCAUGACCUCAUGCUUGCACAGUGGAUACUUCCAUCACCUGGGCCAUCCCCCAAGUCCCUGCAUUCUCACAUAUCAAAACAUGCAACAUCUUGAAGUUGCUCAGAAAGUAAUGCCUCUUACCUGACGGCCUGAAAUCAAAAGAAGAUGUGUCUUGCCAGUGAAAAGGAUGAAUCCAUGGGAGGCAGCAGAGGAGGCAGAAAAACGCCUGCAGUUUGAGUGGUACCAUCUUAGGAGCUGAGCAGUAGCUUCAGUUUGAUGUUCUUCAGAGCAGAUAAUUAAAAGAAAAGAAAU
This 771-nucleotide long non-coding RNA is filed under the name Mus caroli (Ryukyu mouse). Its description in RNAcentral is "RIKEN cDNA 1700071M16 gene (MGP_CAROLIEiJ_G0003027.1)". The record is from RNAcentral. Lineage: Eukaryota; Metazoa; Chordata; Mammalia; Rodentia; Muridae.